RNA transcript from Mastomys coucha (southern multimammate mouse), 2800 nucleotides. It is a transcript of the gene named acyl-CoA synthetase bubblegum family member 2, with no coding region annotated. The transcript is spliced from 16 exons. The record is from RefSeq and is a predicted model, not a curated record. NCBI's taxonomy places the organism in Eukaryota, Metazoa, Chordata, Mammalia, Rodentia, Muridae.
AAGGGGUGUCCUGGGCAGAAGGUUCCAGAAGCCUGAAUUAUGGAGUUGUGUUGGGUGAAAACCCAUCUACCACCACCAUCACCCUGGCUAGACUGAGGGCUGACCAGAGCAAGAAGGAACAGCACACACACACACACACACACACACACACAUGGGCUUCUGGGACCACCCACCACUGACCAACUCUGUGGAAGGAGAAAUAUCUUGCUGACUAGAUGUCUCAUCUGUGACACCUGGCCACCUUGUGAAAGGUGACACUUGCACUGCGACCAAUGCUUCUUGUGAACCUGCGAAGGCUGGACCGCCAAUGACUCCAGAGAAGAAGGUGGAAGACCCUGAGAGGGGCACAGACACCACCCCAGCUGUCCCCAGACUGUGGUGUACUCACUGUGAUGGAGAGGUGCUCCUGAGGCUGUCUAAACAUGGUCCAGGCCAUGAGACCCCGAUGACCAUCCCUGAGCUGUUUCAGGAAUCUGUUGAACGAUUCGGCGCUUAUCCAGCCCUAGCCUCGAAGAACGGCAAAAAGUGUGAAACACUAACAUUCAGCCAGUACUAUGAACUUUGUCAAAAGGCAGCCAGAUCUCUGAUCAAGCUGGGCCUGCAGCGUUUCCACGGUGUCGGCAUCCUGGGCUUUAACUCCGUCGAGUGGGUCACUGCUGCUCUGGGCACUAUCUUGGCUGGGGGCCUCUGUGUUGGUAUUUACGUCACCAAUUCGGCCGAGGCCUGCCAGUACGUCAUCAAGCAGGCCAACGUGGAUGUCUUAAUAGUGGAGAAUGACCAACAGCUGCAGAAAAUCCUGUCGAUUCCACCAGACAAGAUGGAGACCGUGAAAGCCAUUGUGCAGUUCAGGCUGCCCUUGAUGGAAAACAACACAAACCUGUACUCUUCCUGUCUCAGCACACAGGCCCAUCAGUGCACAGGCAGAAGUCAGAAGCUGGCCAGGGUGGGACAGGGCAUUUCUGAGAGCUCUCCCAGCCCUUGGACCCUCUGCCAACCUCCGCUGGCAACCUGCCUUGGGUGGCAUGACUUCAUGGAGCUAGGUAACGCCAUUCCAAAUAUGCAGCUGGAUCGGAUCAUCCUGAGCCAGAAGGCCAACCAGUGUGCGAUCAUCAUCUAUACCUCUGGGACCACAGGAACCCCCAAAGGCGUGAUGCUGAGCCAUGACAACAUCACAUGGAUGGCAGGGGCAAUGGCUCGAGAGAUUGAGAUAAGCCGCAUCUCGGGGAAGCAGGAUGUAAUAGUCAGCUACCUACCGCUCAGCCACAUUGCAGCCCAGAUCACAGACAUCUGGGUCCCUAUCAAGAUGGGGGCACUCACUUUCUUCGCUCAACCAGAUGCACUCAGGGGCACCUUGGUGUACACACUCCAAGAAGUGAAGCCUACUAUUUUCAUGGGGGUGCCACGUAUCUGGGAGAAGAUGCAAGACACUAUCAAGGAGAAUGUGGCCAAGUCCUCCAACCUGAGAAAGAAGGCUUUUGCAUGGGCGAAGAUGCUUGGCUUGAAGGUCAACACCAAGCGGAUGCUCGGGAAGCGAGACAUCCCCAUGAAUUACCGCAUGGCAAAAGCCCUUGUGUUCUCGAAGGUCAGAAGCUCCCUGGGCUUGGACAACUGCCACGCCUUCUUCAGCGGGGCUUCGCCCCUCUCUCAGGAUGUCUCGGAGUUCUUUCUCAGCCUGGACAUCCCCAUUGGUGAGAUCUACGGGAUGAGUGAAUGCUCUGGACCCCACUCAGUCUCCAACAAGAAUGUCUACAGAGUUUUGAGCUGUGGCAAGGUCCUGAAUGGCUGCAAGAACAUGUUGUACAAGCAGAACAAAGACGGCGUGGGUGAGGUGUGCAUGUGGGGCCGGCAUGUCUUUAUGGGCUACCUGAACAAGGAGGAUGCCACGUUGGAGGCACUGGAUGAAGAUGGCUGGCUGCACUCUGGGGACAUUGGCCGCCUGGACAGCCAUGAUUUCCUUUAUAUCACUGGCCGCAUCAAAGAAAUCCUGAUAACUGCUGGUGGUGAGAAUGUAUACCCCAUCCCUAUUGAGACCCUGGUGAAGGAGAAAAUCCCCAUUAUCAGCCAUGCCAUGCUGGUGGGUGACAAAGCCAAUUUCCUGAGCAUGCUGCUGACACUGAAGUGUGAAACAGACCAGAUGAGCGGAGAGCCCUUGGACAGGCUGAGCAAGGAGGCCAUCAGCUUCUGCCAGUCGCUGGGUAGCCAGGCAGCCACAGUGUCGGACAUUUUGAAGAUUCGAGACCCAAUGGUUUACACGGCCAUCCAGUAUGGCAUAGACAUCGUGAAUCAGCAAGCAAUCUCUGACUCGCAUAGUAUUCGAAAGUGGAUCAUCUUGGAGAAAGACUUUUCCAUCCAGGGUGGGGAGCUGGGACCAACAUCAAAACUUAAGAGAGCUAUGAUAACCCAGAAAUACAAAGCACAGAUCGACAGCAUGUACUCGUCAUAGUGGCUGUGACAGGAGCUUCCUCCUGUCCUCAUGGUGAGACCCAGUGGCCUGGUUCUGCUGGGCUACAUAGUCACAGCCUCAUCUCAACGAGGAACAUCCUUCCCACCAGGAAGCCCCUUCCUGAACAGAAGAAGCCACACCCCUGCUGCUCUGUGGUCCUACCGUAAGCUUCCAAAGCAGGCGGCUGUGAUGGAGACAACCCCACACAGGACAAGCCUUCCAGGCGUGAGUGGAGCAGCCACAACAGGCUCUUCCUCUCCUAGGACUUUGUGUUAGAAAAGAGGUGUGAAGACCCAGAGCCUAGAACACCUUCCUGGGAGCAGCACGGAACCCUCAAAUAAGUAGUCAGGAGCCUCA